CUCCUCCCACACAUGAUCACAUGGUCAUGACAUCAUCCCAGGUCCUUUACUUCCUCCUGCAGCACAUCCUGGAGUCUGACUCCUGCACAUGGUGGUAGAAAUAGAAACACUGGAUGCGCCAUGGUGAAGGAUUGUCAGAGGAAGAGGAGGACACGCCCCGCCCAGGUUCCUACAAUAUAGGAUCCGCUCGGUGGAUAUCUUCUAUAUAAGAUCCUUCUCCUCAUUGACCCAUCAAAGAUGGAUAGGGACAAGGACAAGAUGGCAGAGAGGAUAAUAAAUCUCACCCUAGAGAUCCUCUUCCGGCUUACUGGAGAGGACUACACAGUAGUGAAGAAGACCUCUAGUGAGCGCUGUCAGGCCCCUGUGUUUGAAGGAUGGGGAAGAACCCUGAGCACAAUCACGGGGCCCCCACCUCACCUCCUGAUACAUGAGGAAAUCAAU
Bufo bufo (common toad) is the source of this 441-nucleotide long non-coding RNA. RefSeq lists it as uncharacterized. The transcript is spliced from 3 exons. The record is from RefSeq and is a predicted model, not a curated record. Lineage: Eukaryota; Metazoa; Chordata; Amphibia; Anura; Bufonidae.